UCCGGUUUAUCACCGGCAGUCUCCUUUGAGUUCCCACCAUUACGUGCUGGCAACAAAGGAUAAGGGUUGCGCUCGUUGCGGGACUUAACCCAACAUUUCACAACACGAGCUGACGACAGCCAUGCAGCACCUGUCUCAGAGUUCCCGAAGGCACUAAGCUAUCUCUAGCGAAUUCUCUGGAUGUCAAGAGUAGGUAAGGUUCUUCGCGUUGCAUCGAAUUAAACCACAUGCUCCACCGCUUGUGCGGGCCCCCGUCAAUUCAUUUGAGUUUUAACCUUGCGGCCGUACUCCCCAGGCGGUCGACUUAACGCGUUAGCUCCGGAAGCCACGCCUCAAGGGCACAACCUCCAAGUCGACAUCGUUUACAGCGUGGACUAC
RNAcentral lists this unclassified non-coding RNA (378 nucleotides) under uncultured Enterobacteriaceae bacterium. RNAcentral's name for it is "contains 16S-23S intergenic spacer region". The record is from RNAcentral. Lineage: Bacteria; Pseudomonadati; Pseudomonadota; Gammaproteobacteria; Enterobacterales; Enterobacteriaceae.